GGCGCACGGGUGAGUAACGCGUAAGUAAUCUACCCUCGCAUCGGGAAUAACCCACCGAAAGGUGUGCUAAUACCGGAUACGUCUGGAAAUAAUGACUUUUUUUCAGAGAAAGGCAGCCUCUGUUUACAAGCUGUCGUGCGGGGGAUGAGCUUGCGUACCAUUAGCUAGUUGGUAGGGUAAGGGCCUACCAAGGCGACGAUGGUUAGCGGGUCUGAGAGGAUGAUCCGCCACACUGGAACUGGAACACGGACCAGACUCCUACGGGAGGCAGCAGUGAGGAAUAUUGCGCAAUGGGGGCAACCCUGACGCAGCGACGCCGCGUGGAUGAUGAAGGCCUUCGGGUUGUAAAAUCCUGUCAGAUGGGAAGAACGGUAGGAGGGUUAACAGCCCUGUUAUUUGACGGUACCAUCAAAGGAAGCACCGGCUAACUCCGUGCCAGCAGCCGCGGUAAUACGGAGGGUGUAAGCGUUGUUCGGAAUUACUGGGCGUAAAGCGCGCGUAGGCGGCUCUUUAAGUCAUUUGUGAAAGUCCACGGCUCAACUGUGGAAGUGCAUGUGAAACUGGAGAGCUUGAGUACUGGAGGGGGUGGUGGAAUUCCCGGUGUAGAGGUGAAAUUCGUAGAUAUCGGGAGGAAUACCGGUGGCGAAGGCGACCACCUGGCCAGAUACUGACGCUGAGGUGCGAAAGCGUGGGGAGCGAACGGGAUUAGAUACCCUGGUAGUCCACG
RNAcentral lists this ribosomal RNA (727 nucleotides) under uncultured bacterium. RNAcentral's name for it is "bacterial SSU rRNA". It matches the Rfam family "Bacterial small subunit ribosomal RNA", at positions 97 to 799 of the family's 1533-position model. The record is from RNAcentral.